RNAcentral lists this non-coding RNA (30 nucleotides) under Mus musculus (house mouse). Lineage: Eukaryota; Metazoa; Chordata; Mammalia; Rodentia; Muridae. The record is from RNAcentral.
UGUCACGUAUAAUAUUUUAUUGGGGCUGAC